AAAUUGAAGAGUUUGAUCAUGGCUCAGAUUGAACGCUGGCGGCAGGCCUAACACAUGCAAGUCGAACGGUAACAGGAAGCAGCUUGCUGCUUUGCUGACGAGUGGCGGACGGGUGAGUAAUGUCUGGGAAACUGCCUGAUGGAGGGGGAUAACUACUGGAAACGGUGGCUAAUACCGCAUAACGUCGCAAGACCAAAGAGGGGGACCUUCGGGCCUCUUGCCAUCAGAUGUGCCCAGAUGGGAUUAGCUAGUUG
This 254-nucleotide ribosomal RNA is filed under the name Salmonella enterica subsp. enterica serovar Thompson. RNAcentral's name for it is "partial 16S ribosomal RNA". It matches the Rfam family "Bacterial small subunit ribosomal RNA", at positions 1 to 251 of the family's 1533-position model. Lineage: Bacteria; Pseudomonadati; Pseudomonadota; Gammaproteobacteria; Enterobacterales; Enterobacteriaceae. RNAcentral also lists the same sequence under 1 other name. The record is from RNAcentral.